GCUGAAAGAUAGAGGGUAACGAACUCAAAAACCGUUGCCUGAAUAAGGCGUGUCGGUUCGACUCCGACCUUCGGCACCA
Molecule: transfer RNA, 79 nt
Filed under: SAR202 cluster bacterium
Lineage: Bacteria; Bacillati; Chloroflexota; Dehalococcoidia
Description: tRNA-OTHER
Source: RNAcentral